RNAcentral lists this ribosomal RNA (305 nucleotides) under uncultured archaeon. RNAcentral describes it as "bacterial SSU rRNA". It matches the Rfam family "Archaeal small subunit ribosomal RNA", at positions 347 to 654 of the family's 1478-position model. The record is from RNAcentral.
CCUCUGCAAUAGGCGAAAGCUUGACAGGGUUACUCUGAGUGAUUCCCGCUAAGGGGAUCUUUUGGCACCUCUAAAAAUGGUGCAGAAUAAGGGGUGGGCAAGUCUGGUGUCAGCCGCCGCGGUAAUACCAGCACCCCGAGUGGUCGGGACGAUUAUUGGGCCUAAAGCAUCCGUAGCCGGUCCUACAAGUCUUCCGUUAAAUCCACCUGCUUAACAGAUGGGCUGCGGAAGAUACUAUAGGGCUAGGAGGCGGGAGAGGCAAGCGGUACUCAGCGGGUAGGGGUAAAAUCCUCUGAUCCACUGAA